RNAcentral lists this long non-coding RNA (238 nucleotides) under Lathyrus oleraceus (garden pea). RNAcentral's name for it is "Pisum sativum (pea) long non-coding RNA (PSAT_LNC013172)". Lineage: Eukaryota; Viridiplantae; Streptophyta; Magnoliopsida; Fabales; Fabaceae. The record is from RNAcentral.
ACAAACGUACCUUUGGUGCCAGAAGGAGGAAACGUCGUAGAUCUAACAGAGGUGGAAGGAGAACGCCUUAGAACCCUAACGUGAAAAAGAACGAAAAUAACAGAGAGUGAAAUAACAAAACGCGCAGUAUGUUAUAAUUUUAAUGUUUACUAAACGGGACCUUAGAGGGCGCUUGUGGAAAAAAAGCGCCCUCUAAGGUGCGCUGUCUAUUGCUCCUUAUUUUUUCGCUUCACUUUAG